This 72-nucleotide transfer RNA is filed under the name Penaeus monodon (black tiger shrimp). RNAcentral describes it as "tRNA-Pro". It matches the Rfam family "tRNA". Rfam says of the family: Transfer RNA (tRNA) molecules are approximately 80 nucleotides in length. Their secondary structure includes four short double-helical elements and three loops (D, anti-codon, and T loops). Lineage: Eukaryota; Metazoa; Arthropoda; Malacostraca; Decapoda; Penaeidae. The record is from RNAcentral.
GGCCUGAUGGUCUAGGGGUAUGAUUCUCGUUUUGGGUGCGAGAGGUCCCGGGUUCAAAUCCCGGUCAGGCCC